RNAcentral lists this ribosomal RNA (497 nucleotides) under uncultured bacterium. RNAcentral's name for it is "partial 16S ribosomal RNA". It matches the Rfam family "Bacterial small subunit ribosomal RNA", at positions 28 to 507 of the family's 1533-position model. The record is from RNAcentral.
GAUGAACGCUGGCGGCGUGCCUAAUACAUGCAAGUCGAGCGAACAGACGAGGAGCUUGCUCCUUUGACGUUAGCGGCGGACGGGUGAGUAACACGUAGGUAACCUACCUAUAAGACUGGGAUAACUUCGGGAAACCGGAGCUAACACCGGAUAAUAUUUCGAACCGCAUGGUUCGAUAGUGAAAGAUGGCUUUGCUGUCCCUUAUAGAUGGACCUGCGCCGUAUUAGCUAGUUGGUACGGUAACGGCUUACCAAGGCAACGAUACGUAGCCGACCUGAGAGGGUGAUCAGCCACACUGGAACUGAGACACGGUCCAGACUCCUACGGGAGGCAGCAGUGGGGAAUCUUCCGCAAUGGGCGAAAGCCUGACGGAGCAACGCCGCGUGAGUGAUGAAGGUCUUCGGAUCGUAAAGCUCUGUUAUUAGGGAAGAACAAACGUGUAAGUAACUGUGCACGUCUUGACGGUACCUAAUCAGAAAGCCACGGCUAACUACGUG